Molecule: non-coding RNA, 143 nt
Filed under: unclassified sequences
Source: RNAcentral
GUACUGAAUAAGUGAGUGGGGAAUAAUGUGUGAAUCAUUAACUGUUCCUGCAACGGUAAAACCUAAAAGUUAAGUCCGAGCGCCACCCAGUAUAGCCCGCUGUUGAAUGAAGGCCAGGAAAAGUCUAGUUCUGCAAUUAAAAA